This 303-nucleotide ribosomal RNA is filed under the name uncultured bacterium. RNAcentral's name for it is "partial 16S ribosomal RNA". It matches the Rfam family "Bacterial small subunit ribosomal RNA", at positions 507 to 807 of the family's 1533-position model. The record is from RNAcentral.
AGCAGUAGCCACGGUAAUACAGAGGGUGCGAGCGUUAAUCGGAUUUACUGGGCGUAAAGCGUGCGUAGGCGGCUAAUUGAGUCGGAUGUGAAAUCCCCGAGCUUAACUUGGGAAUUGCAUUCGAUACUGGUUAGCUAGAGUGUGGGAGAGGAUGGUAGAAUUCCAGGUGUAGAGGUGAAAUGCGUAGAGAUCUGGAGGAAUACCGAUGGCGAAGGCAGCCAUCUGGCCUAACACUGACGCUGAGGUACGAAAGCAUGGGGAGCAAACAGGAUUAGAUACCCCUGUAGUCCCUGUCUCUUAUAC